Molecule: ribosomal RNA, 465 nt
Filed under: uncultured bacterium
Lineage: Bacteria
Description: bacterial SSU rRNA
Rfam family: Bacterial small subunit ribosomal RNA
Source: RNAcentral
GACGAACGCUGGCGGCGCGCCUAACACAUGCAAGUCGAACGAGAGAUGAGGAGCUUGCUCUUCAAAUCGAGUGGCGAACGGGUGAGUAACGCGUGAGGAACCUGCCUCAAAGAGGGGGACAACAGUUGGAAACGACUGCUAAUACCGCAUAAGCCCACGGGUCGGCAUCGACCAGAGGGAAAGGAGCAAUCCGCUUUGAGAUGGCCUCGCGUCCGAUUAGCUAGUUGGUGAGGUAAUGGCCCACCAAGGCGACGAUCGGUAGCCGGACUGAGAGGUUGAACGGCCACAUUGGGACUGAGACACGGCCCAGACUCCUACGGGAGGCAGCAGUGGGGAAUAUUGCACAAUGGGGGAAACCCUGAUGCAGCGACGCCGCGUGGAGGAAGAAGGUCUUCGGAUUGUAAACUCCUGUUGUUGAGGAAGAUAAUGACGGUACUCAACAAGGAAGUGACGGCUAACUACGUG